This 1671-nucleotide long non-coding RNA is filed under the name Daphnia pulicaria. RNAcentral describes it as "uncharacterized LOC124316088, transcript variant X3". The record is from RNAcentral. Lineage: Eukaryota; Metazoa; Arthropoda; Branchiopoda; Diplostraca; Daphniidae.
AGAAAAGAAGAACAAACUUGUGGGUGAAGGGGAAGGUCUUCCAUGUCAAAGUAUGGCAGACGUCCUCGCUUGCCGAAUCUGCAAUCAGGAACCCAACGGAAAUGGAUGAUUGGAAUUAACAAUCGACGCGAUUACAUCAUGCGUGAAAAGUUGAAAUAGCUGAAGUAUAUAAUAGUGCGUGCAAAAUAGGAAAGAAACCUUUGCGGGAGAAUCGCUAGCUGUGAGUUAUAUGUGACUGGUGUGAAGAAUUGAGCGGGAAAAAUCAAAGUCUUUGGAUUUGAAUUUGAGUUGAUACCUGGGACGAACGAGUGAGUUGUCGUAGCGCCGGUCGAGUUGCUUCAGCUGCAGUAACUGGACAAUCUUACCGCCCCUGAUACUGAACAUACGCUAACACAGUUUCAAUGUUAAAACAAUGGACGGCUCUGCUGAGGUUCAUUUGAGAGCAAAAAGGAAGAGUCUCAAAAAACACAAUGAAGAGGAUCAAACUAAUCACUUUGAAUUAGGAUAUACAUGCAAUCGAUGACGGUACACGUCACCUGUCGAUGAAUGUUUCAAUAGAAAAGGUCAAAACGACCACACACUAAGAAAUUUGAAUUUUGUAUUAUACCUGGGCCGGGCGGCUUGACCGUAGACUUUGUCCAAUCCUUGAAGAUAUUUGAUGGCAUCAGCCAUGGCCGUCAUUUCUCCGCCUUCACCUCCGCUCAUGACGUCUCCGCCAUCGGCUUUGGUGGUAGUGACGCAAACGGCCAACACGACCAUCACCACCAGGAAGACCAAAGCGGCCAACGAACAGGAGCGGGGAAGGAAUUGCUGGAUGCUGCUGCUGGACAUUUUGUGGUUGGGUGAGUGUAGUGGAAGAAGAAGAUGAUGAAGGAGGUAGAAGAGGCAAGUGUCGACUGUGUCCUGACUGGGCCAUUUGGCACCUUUUUAUACCCGUUUCCCAUCCCUCUGGUCCAGCGGCGUGUGCCCACCGGUUGACGCAGUCGCGGAUAAAGGAUUGGAAAAGUCUGUCAGCCGCAGGAUUCCCGCUCAGUUGCAACUGUUUUUGUUUUCCCAACUGCUACGCAAAUGAAGAAUUGCGAACAUGACAACUCAAUGUUCUAGACAUUGGACACAGCACUUGGAUUUCGGUGAACGUGAAGACCACACAAAUCCUUUUGGGUUGGUGGCGGCGGCUUUGCCGGGAUGGAUUUGACACUCUCCAACACAACAAACCACUUCUCCCACAUACACCAAGAUGUAACUUUUGUGUCCGUUUCGUCGCGUUAAACUGAAAGGGGAAAAAUAAAGUCCCGGAGAAUUUUAAAAAGAAACCAGUCGAUAGUGCCAAGGUUGGCCGUUUUUUCUAACUUUCUUUCCCGGCCGAUAUUAUUAUAUAUCCAGUGUGUGUGUGUGUGCGUAAUAUUACGAAAGAGUCGGGGUGGGGCAAGCGUUUGACGGGCAAAGGAAGUCAUAGUAGAGAGAUAAAUGGUUCAAUCAGUACAACACGAACCUACAAACGCGUUUAUGAAGUCGAAGCUGAGCCGCUGCCCAUAAAUUGGGAGCCUUAGAAAAAGGGAUCCCGAAAAAUCCCGCGGGGAAACAAACACAUCUCGGAUGUCAGCCAACGUCAAUACGUUUUUUCCGUAGCCUUUUUUCUUUUUAAAAGUAAUAGACGCGCCUGAAACAACC